AACGAACGCUGGCGGCGUGGAUAAGACAUGCAAGUCGAACGGGACAACAUCUGUAGCAAUACAGGUGUUGUUUAGUGGCGAACGGGUGCGUAACACGUGGGCAAUCUGCCGAGAAGUGGGGGAUAGCUCGCCGAAAGGCGAAUUAAUACCGCAUAUGAUCAGUGAAGACAUCUUCACGACAUCAAAGCCGGGGCAACCUGGCGCUUCUUGAUGACGCCCGC
RNAcentral lists this ribosomal RNA (221 nucleotides) under uncultured bacterium. RNAcentral's name for it is "partial 16S ribosomal RNA". It matches the Rfam family "Bacterial small subunit ribosomal RNA", at positions 29 to 234 of the family's 1533-position model. The record is from RNAcentral.